Drosophila montana is the source of this 2025-nucleotide long non-coding RNA. RefSeq lists it as uncharacterized. Lineage: Eukaryota; Metazoa; Arthropoda; Insecta; Diptera; Drosophilidae. The transcript is spliced from 2 exons. The record is from RefSeq and is a predicted model, not a curated record.
UUAUUUCAAUUCUUUGCUCUCUAGAAUUGUUGUCGUUGUCGCACAGUGGUGCAAUGUAUCGUCAUCAACAAUCCAAUCGAUAAAUCGAAUUGGAAUCAAACUGGCAUUCGAGCUAGUACAUGUAAUAUUUUUCUUAUGUUUUCAUAUAUAUAUAUUUGUAAAUUUACAACAUUUCAAUAAAAGUGUAUAAUAUUUAUGACAAAAGACUAAGAGCUAAGCCACGGCUCUAAAGAAAUUCACUUUUCUGACCAAUGGCAUUUGCAUUUGGACCACUGUGCGUUGUCGCAGUCCACGACGCGUAACUGCCGCGAUUUAUACAAACAUACGGUUUUGCUUAAGCAGCGGCCAACAGUUGCUCGUCACAUGUUCGACACUCAAGUAGAGACCACCUCAAGUAACGGGAAUUGUGCAGAAAAUUGGACCAACGAUCAGUUCUGUGACCAACACACACACACACAAUCAACCGACAACAAUAGUUCCUUCACGCAUUGUGCAAUUGAAAGUGGAGAUUGAGAUUUAUUGAAAGUCGAAAACCGAUUCGAACCGAACCGAACCGUACCGAAAGCCGCAAGUUGUGUGAGUGUCCGAAUAUAUGUAUUUUAAUCGAGCUGUUAACAUUUCAAACCCACUUAGUUGCCAACGCGCUAUUGCCGCCUACAACAUUCUCGAAGCUUUCCGAGCAACGUGCUUUGACCACACGCGGUUCUGUGUUGUGUUUCUUGUCUGUGUGUGCGUGCGUGUGUGUCGAGUGUGUUAAAAAGGAAAAGCCGAAAAAGCAAAAGCGAUUAUCGAAAAGAAUAUAAGCAAUUAGGGUUUUAUUUGUCAGUCUCUAGUGUAGUGUAAGAAAAAGCAGAUGCAGUCGUCUCGUCGGUUGUUUGCACGUUAACGUAAUAUUCAAACAAUACAAAUUUAACCACCAAACAUCUUUUGCGCUUUGUUGCGGUGCCACAAGAUCGAACGCCCAACCCCCGCACCGCACCGCACCGUUCCGUUUCGCCCAACGUCAAACGUUAAUUGCACUCUUCGAAUUGCAUUUUUACUUCCGCUCUCUCGCCUCCACUCUCUCACUGUGUCUCCAUCUCUCUCCCUCUCUCCCGCUGAUUCUUCUUGCUGCUGAUUUAUUUUAAUACAGUGGCUGUGCUCUAUUCGAAUUCAACAAAUAGAUUGUUUGUGUGUGAGCGUGCGUAUGUGUGUGCUCUAUAUACCCACAUAUGUACAUUCAAAUAUACAACUAUUCACAUUAGUGUUACAUAUACACGUGAGCCAAGCGAACAGAGACUUUGUAAUCGUGUAACCGUAACCAAUAACGUCAGAGUAACUGUAACGGUCAAUAACGCCGCAAACGCGUUUCGCGACUCUUCCCUCUUACACCCAGCCUGCUCUCGCACGUAUUUACAAGAAGAAGAAUAAGAAGAAGCAAUCAGCUCGUUACGUACUUUUGCUAGCGCCAUCUGGCUUCCGAUUAUACCCGCGCGAAUUUCAACUCUUCUCGUCCUUGUUGUGGCCGUGGCGCAAGUGCCCUCUCUCGCUCGCACCGUCGCUGCCGUCUACGUGUUUCAAAGAAAGCAAGUCAAAGCAAAUAGCAAAUACCAAAGACGUUCAAUCGCGUUCUGCAUCUUGUGAAUUCGGAAUAUAACUGUUAAAGCACGACUAGCCGCCCCAGUUUACCAGCAAGGAAUAGGGCAAACGUUUCGAACAGAGGACGCAGUGAAAAAAAAGUGUAUGCACAAAAUAAAACAUCAGGCAACAACAAUAACAAAAACAACAACAGCAACAGCAACAAACGACCACGAAAACAACAACAUCAAGACGCAAUUUAAUGAAUUUUGUGAUUAUAAAUAUUUCAGAGGUACAACAAAAGCUCAUUUAAUAAAAAAUCGCGGCGUCGAGCACCACGCCAAACGGCAAAACCCACAAAAAUCAAAUUAAAACAAAAACAAAACGACAAAAAAAAAACAAACGAAAUAAUUUAAAAAAGAAAGAAAAACAAACGCACAACAAAAGCAACAACAACAACAGCAACAA